RNAcentral lists this unclassified non-coding RNA (211 nucleotides) under plant metagenome. Its description in RNAcentral is "partial contains small subunit ribosomal RNA, internal transcribed spacer 1, and 5.8S ribosomal RNA". The record is from RNAcentral.
UUUCCGUAGGUGAACCUGCGGAAGGAUCAUUCAUAAUAAAGUGUUUUAUGGCACUUUUUAAAAAUCCAUAUCCACCUUGUGUGCAAUGUUAGAUCUCGUCAAUCAUGGCGAGGUUUUUAUACAUCAACUCAUUCUUUAACUAAUUUGUCUGAAAAAUAUUAUGAAUACUUAAUUCAAAAUACAACUUUCAACAACGGAUCUCUUGGCUCUC